GGACAAGAGUGCUGAAGAAGCCUCCCUGGGGGGAGUAGGACUGCAUGCUGGGCCUAGUGAGGCUGAAGGUUUAGUUGCCUUUUCUUUUGUUAUUUUAUACUGGACUUGGAGUUGUGGGGAAAAAAAGAAGGUAGGAAGAAGGAAAGGUAAUUCUGUGAGCUCUCCAGGAUACUGUUGAACCUCAUCGGGUGCUGGGUCAGACCCCAUUCAAAUGGGAGGGCCUAGGUUCCCCUAUCAAGUACCCUGCUGCAGAAGAUUCAUCAAGCACAUUCCAAUCUCAUGCCUCCUCUGAUAAGAAGACAAGAACAUUGAAACCCAAAGGGAAGCUAAGCCUAGCCUCAGAUAUAGGAAGAUGAGCAAAGACUGAGAUUUGAAGAAAUGGGACUUGAUGGAUCUGCAGUAAUUAAGGAGAGAAGAUGAAUAUAUGAACAAAGACUUGAGCAGAGAUGGAGUCGGGGCAGUGGCAUAUGUUGGCUUUAUUAUAGGCCGAUGUAGGAGGUUCAGAAUCAAGUAUAAUGCUAAUUUUACAGAGAACAGAGCCAAAUGGAAUAUCUCAGAGCCAGAGAACAAAGCAGACUGAAAUGCCUUUGAGUUUAAGGAAAGGUGGAUUUUUAUGAACUGACCAAAGAAUGGUUUCUGAAGAUGGGCUGCUUGAACUCAAGUGACGUUAAUAGGUUUCAACAGCACCUCCAUAGUGGCUUUAAACAAGUCACAGUGGUUCUUCUCUGAAGAAAUGGCUAAUGACUGCAGUUCUUAAUCCCCAAACUCCAACAGAAUUACUUUAUAAUGAGGCACAUAAAUUUACUAGACCUAUAAUCGAAAGAACCUUUGGUCUUCUAAGAAAUAAUACAGAUGCCUAGAGAAAUUAUAUAAAAUCACUCCUUGAAUGUUUGUGAAGGUUUUUUUCUGGGUGUUGCAUAUAACAAAAUGACACUGUCCGAUGUAUAAAUUUCUCAAGGAGAGAAUGAGAUCAAUGUAUCAAACCACAAAUAUAUGGUCAAAUAAUUAAAUGGAGUCCAUUUGUAGUAUGAAUUUUCUGUUAAUUUGUGUUAAUUUGUGAAUGGCAAGGAAAAUGCCUGGUGGAUUGGGCCCUUUUGUUGUUAGAGCAUAAUACCUGAUGUAUACAUUUUUCAUCUUUCAUUUGUACACUAUUUAUGAGUGUUCCUCUUUGGACUUAUUUGCUCAGGUUAUGUCAUUUCUGAACUCUAAAGCCAAGCGCUUUAUAAAACCAAUGCACUUGCAUUUGAUUUGCUGAAAUUUGAAGAAAAUAUCUUUUUUGAAUGAGAGAGAUGUCUUGACAAAUCAUGUGACAGGUUGCUAGCUAGGAGACAAAUUUAUUUCAUCUCUAGUGAUUAAAGUGCACAGAAAAUUUUUCAGGGAGACAAAGAUGUUUGAUUUCUUUCAUCUCCUCUUCCUUGUGUGGAGUGGGAAUUUACUGGGCUUCCCCUGAGGUGGAUGCCACGAAAUUCUUACAGGGCAGCAUAAGGGGGCUGCAAUGCUUGUAAGCAUGGCU
This is a long non-coding RNA of Dermochelys coriacea (leatherback sea turtle), 1513 nucleotides long. RefSeq lists it as uncharacterized. The record is from RefSeq and is a predicted model, not a curated record. The transcript is spliced from 4 exons. NCBI's taxonomy places the organism in Eukaryota, Metazoa, Chordata, Testudines, Dermochelyidae.